Molecule: small RNA, 365 nt
Filed under: Cryptococcus neoformans H99
Lineage: Eukaryota; Fungi; Basidiomycota; Tremellomycetes; Tremellales; Cryptococcaceae
Description: Cryptococcus neoformans var. grubii H99 hypothetical RNA
Source: RNAcentral
CCUUGUCACCCAAAUCUCUCAUUCGCCAUUUUACGUCUUAUUACUUUUUCGAUCCACGAUUGAAGUAUAUCGUGGUACUCGAACUUAAAUUUCCCCCUCUCCUCUGGUUCAGUAAUGAAGUAUAAGAGGGUGCUUUGCUCGCAGUCGCGGGUGAGAGGCCAAAAUCCGUCUACAUGUAAACAAAUACUUGCGACCCAAUUCAGUCUGUUACCUAGGCAGAACCACAGGUGGUGAGGGGCUCACUUUCGGGGAGGCUGCGUUAGAGUAACUAAAUCACACCAACGGCCAGCGAAAACGAAUGAGGAACAUAUUCAAGGAUGAGAAAAUCUUACAGUAGAAGGAAAUGUACGGUUUAUGCAUGUGCC